CAGAGAUAAGACGUUAUACUAUAUACGCAAGAGAGAAGAAGCGAAUCGACGAAGAAGAAGAUAGACAGAGAGAAGAGCAAAAGGGAGCAGCUUACGGAACGGCAUGUCCUCGUGUGUUCGUGUCGUAGAGCGUUUCUGAACGCAGCCAUUACGACACAACCGCUCUCGGUGACGCUUUGCUGCGGUAGAGCCGUGCUCACGCGCGCAGUGGUCACGGAACGAUCGGAACGGAACACACGUGUUUUCGGAAAUUCGAACGAGAUUUCGGUAAACGAAAUUUAUUCAGUGAUAGAUAUAUCGGGAGGCCCAGGGACGCUUCUUGACGCGCGGCGUCACGUCGCGCGGGUCAUCAACAACCCGAGUGUCCGGUUUGAUUGGUACAUAGUAAAGUAAAACUCGCGAUUGGGAUAAAUCGCUCGAUUUCUCUCUUGUAGUACCUGUUCGAAGGAAAAUAACCAACC
This 461-nucleotide unclassified non-coding RNA is filed under the name Bombus terrestris (buff-tailed bumblebee). RNAcentral's name for it is "misc RNA ENSBTSG00005032139.1". The record is from RNAcentral. Lineage: Eukaryota; Metazoa; Arthropoda; Insecta; Hymenoptera; Apidae.